Molecule: small RNA, 987 nt
Filed under: Histoplasma capsulatum var. duboisii H88
Lineage: Eukaryota; Fungi; Ascomycota; Eurotiomycetes; Onygenales; Ajellomycetaceae
Description: Histoplasma capsulatum H88 hypothetical RNA
Source: RNAcentral
GGCUUGCAGGGCGGAUGCCCUCGUAUUGCUCAACAUGGAUCCUGCCACCCAUUGCAUGUUAUUUACGGCAUCAGACAGUUUGAAUGUUUUAUAUACCUCCUUAGCUGGGGGGCUCAAGUGUUUAAGCUACUGAGAAAUCGUUCAUGCAGCUUCAACGCCAGGGGUACCUUUCCGAGACCCAACAACUACUGAGUACCAUUACAACUGUUCCAUUGAUGAAAGGGGCGGACUUACUGCUAACUUAGGACACACACCCUGUCCAUGUCUUCCCCUUUUUCUCUUUCUUCGAGUGACUAACAGGUUUGUGUGCCAGAUUCCCACAAUAUGAUGCCAUAUAUCCUAUUGGAUAACCACUGCACGCCUGAAGGCAACGGCGAACCCCCGAAAGAGUGCACGGUGCAUGUUUAUCCCGCCACACAUUGAGAACUCUUCCUAUUAAUAGCUUCCGGUUCGCACAGAACUUUUCACUUCCUUUAUGCCUACGCCUAGGGGAGAGUGUCAAGCCGCAUGGAUGGUUCGUAUUCAUAACCCAGCCCACGGAGCAUAGUUACAAAAUUGGCAAUUGAAGAGGAAAAUUUUGAACAGAUAAUGGACUAACCUUCGUUCUCGAUUUCAUCAUCGUAUCAACCUUGCAAAAAAAAUUUCUUCCCGCCUAACUUGCAUGGACCAACAGCUCCCCCACGCCGCCACACGCCGCCACACGCUGCCACCAAGAUGUCAAGGACAUCCUCACAGUUACUAGCAUGAUCGACGGCUUAGUGCGGGGUUGCAGAGAUAAUUUUAUUUAGUUAUUUAUUUAUUUUAGGUUGUAAAUUUAUUUCGUUGUGUGCUUUAUCAACACACCGAAAAUCCUUUGGGGCUUUUUAUUAGAAGAUUCUUUUUCCGUUCUCAGUUAACGCUGUUUCUCUUGCUUUGCUGUGUAUUUAAUUGGUUCCUGCCAGGUGGUUAAUUUUAGACAACUUGGUCACUGACAUCAGGGUGACAAGG